Molecule: ribosomal RNA, 494 nt
Filed under: uncultured Escherichia sp.
Lineage: Bacteria; Pseudomonadati; Pseudomonadota; Gammaproteobacteria; Enterobacterales; Enterobacteriaceae
Description: bacterial SSU rRNA
Rfam family: Bacterial small subunit ribosomal RNA
Source: RNAcentral
AAUUCGAUGCAACGCGAAGAACCUUACCUGGUCUUGACAUCCACGGAAGUUUUCAGAGAUGAGAAUGUGCCUUCGGGAGCCGUGAGACAGGUGCUGCAUGGCUGUCGUCAGCUCGUGUUGUGAAAUGUUGGGUUAAGUCCCGCAACGAGCGCAACCCUUAUCCUUUGUUGCCAGCGGUCCGGCCGGGAACUCAAAGGAGACUGCCAGUGAUAAACUGGAGGAAGGUGGGGAUGACGUCAAGUCAUCAUGGCCCUUACGACCAGGGCUACACACGUGCUACAAUGGCGCAUACAAAGAGAAGCGACCUCGCGAGAGCAAGCGGACCUCAUAAAGUGCGUCGUAGUCCGGAUUGGAGUCUGCAACUCGACUCCAUGAAGUCGGAAUCGCUAGUAAUCGUGGAUCAGAAUGCCACGGUGAAUACGUUCCCGGGCCUUGUACACACCGCCCGUCACACCAUGGGAGUGGGUUGCAAAAGAAGUAGGUAGCUUAACCUU